AUGAAAUUAAGAUGUGCUCUUCAAAUGCUUAAGCCGGGUGGUGAAGGGGAGGACUUCAUAGAAAAGGUAGGGCAACGACUACAUACAUUAACCUACCACAUGAGAAAUUACUUCAGGCUUGAUUUCCCACAUCUAAAUAACAUCUCUAGAUACAAAACAGAAGAGUACUCCCACACUGAUGUGAACAGGUCAUCGUUGUUUAAUUUCCUUUUUCUUUUUCUUUUGAUCCGACUGGCAUGGAAAAUGAUGAUUCACUUUAUAAUGGCAUCUUAUUUUAUUUUCUGUAUAUCUUGCUAA
RNAcentral lists this ribosomal RNA (297 nucleotides) under Triticum aestivum (bread wheat). RNAcentral describes it as "partial small subunit ribosomal RNA". Lineage: Eukaryota; Viridiplantae; Streptophyta; Magnoliopsida; Poales; Poaceae. The record is from RNAcentral.